GACGAACGCUGGCGGCGUGCUUAACACAUGCAAGUCGAACGGAAGGGCCCUGCUUUUGUGGGGUGCUCGAGUGGCGAACGGGUGAGUAACACGUGAGUAACCUGCCCUUGACUUUGGGAUAACUUCAGGAAACUGGGGCUAAUACCGGAUAGGAGCUCCUGCUGCAUGGUGGGGGUUGGAAAGUUUCGGCGGUUGGGGAUGGACUCGCGGCUUAUCAGCUUGUUGGUGGGGUAGUGGCUUACCCAGGCUUUGACGGGUAGCCGGCCUGAGAGGGUGACCGGCCACAUUGGGACUGCGAUACGGACCAGACUCCUACGGGAGACAGCAGUGGGGAAUAUUGCACAAUGGGCGGAAGCCUGAUGCAGCAACGCCGCGUGCGGGAUGACGGCCUUCGGGUUGUAAACCGCUUUCGCCUGUGACGAAGCGUGAGUGACGGUAAUGGGUAAAGAAGCACCGGCUAACUACGUG
RNAcentral lists this ribosomal RNA (468 nucleotides) under uncultured bacterium. Its description in RNAcentral is "partial 16S ribosomal RNA". It matches the Rfam family "Bacterial small subunit ribosomal RNA", at positions 28 to 507 of the family's 1533-position model. The record is from RNAcentral.